This 86-nucleotide transfer RNA is filed under the name Prevotellaceae bacterium. RNAcentral describes it as "tRNA-Leu". It matches the Rfam family "tRNA". From Rfam's summary of the family: Transfer RNA (tRNA) molecules are approximately 80 nucleotides in length. Their secondary structure includes four short double-helical elements and three loops (D, anti-codon, and T loops). The record is from RNAcentral. Lineage: Bacteria; Pseudomonadati; Bacteroidota; Bacteroidia; Bacteroidales; Prevotellaceae.
GCCCGGGUGGUGGAAUAGGUAGACACGCAGGACUUAAAAUCCUGUGAGCAGAAAUGUUCGUACGGGUUCGAUUCCCGUCUCGGGUA